This 366-nucleotide unclassified non-coding RNA is filed under the name Hevea brasiliensis (rubber tree). The record is from RNAcentral. Lineage: Eukaryota; Viridiplantae; Streptophyta; Magnoliopsida; Malpighiales; Euphorbiaceae.
AAGAUCAUCAUAGAUUAUUAAUGUGUUGAAUAUUGCCAUGGCACAUCCAGAAUUUGGAGUCAGAAAUUGCAGAGGAAAUGGAAGUAUGUUCCAUAAUGCGUAGGGGUGUGAAAAUGGCUAGAAUUGAUUCUGAUUGCCUUAGUUUUAAUCUAGGGAUCACACAACAUUCUCAAGAAUGCUACCUUUGCACAUAUUUAGUGUUGUUUAAAAUGUUAAACUGAUGAACUCAAAUCAUCUUUCUGAUGGUGGAAGACACCCUCUACUAGCAUGUGACAUAUGAAUUUCCCUGUUUGUUGCCUGGUUCUAGCUUUUUCUUAUCUAUGUUACGUUUUUCCUUUCUGUAGGAUGGCCAGAGGAGUUCAUUUA